RNAcentral lists this ribosomal RNA (576 nucleotides) under uncultured Hyphomicrobiales bacterium. RNAcentral's name for it is "bacterial SSU rRNA". It matches the Rfam family "Bacterial small subunit ribosomal RNA", at positions 107 to 719 of the family's 1533-position model. The record is from RNAcentral. Lineage: Bacteria; Pseudomonadati; Pseudomonadota; Alphaproteobacteria; Hyphomicrobiales.
UGAGUAAUGUAUAGGAAUCUACCUAGUAGUACGGAAUAAUUGUUGGAAACGGCAACUAAUACCGUAUACGCCCUACGGGGGAAAAAUUUAUUGCUAUUAGAUGAGCCUAUAUUAGAUUAGUUAGUUGGUGAGGUAAAGGCUUACCAAGACAAUGAUCUAUAGCUGAUCUGAGAGGAUGAUCAGCCACACUGGAACUGAGAUACGGUCCAGACUCCUACGGGAGGCAGCAGUGGGGAAUAUUGGACAAUGGGCGAAAGCCUGAUCCAGCCAUGCCGCAUGAGUGAAGAAGGCCUUCGGGUUGUAAAGCUCUUUUAGUGAGGAAGAUAAUGACGGUACUCACAGAAGAAGUCCUGGCUAACUCCGUGCCAGCAGCCGCGGUAAUACGGAGAGGGCUAGCGUUAUUCGGAAUCAUUGGGCGUAAAGGGCGCGUAGGCGGGUUAGUAAGUUAAAAGUGAAAUCCCAAGGCUCAACCUUGGAACUGCUUUUAAAACUGCUAGUCUAGAGAUUGNNNAGGAUAGAGGAAUUCCUAGUGUAGAGAUGAAAUUCGUAAAUAUUAGGAGGAACACCAGUGGCGAA